UACGUAGGGGGCAAGCGUUGUCCGGAAUCAUUGGGCGUAAAGCGCGUGUAGGCGGCUUGGCAAGUCGGAUGUGAAAGCCCACGGCUCAACCGUGGAAGCGCAUCCGAAACGGCCUCGCUCGAGUCUCGGAGAGAAAGGUGGAAUGCUUGGUGUAGAGGUGAAAUUCGUAGAUAUCAAGCAGAACACCUGCGGCGAAGGCGGCCUUCUGGACGAUGACUGACGCUGAGACGCGAAAGCGUGGGGAGCAAACAGG
Molecule: ribosomal RNA, 253 nt
Filed under: uncultured bacterium
Lineage: Bacteria
Description: partial 16S ribosomal RNA
Rfam family: Bacterial small subunit ribosomal RNA
Source: RNAcentral